Molecule: long non-coding RNA, 9641 nt
Organism: Psammomys obesus (fat sand rat)
Lineage: Eukaryota; Metazoa; Chordata; Mammalia; Rodentia; Muridae
Exons: 13
Source: RefSeq, a predicted model, not a curated record
CAAAGGAGAGCUAAGACAUGUGGCUGGCCCUCUGAGCACAGAGCCUGGUGGACCAUCCAGCAAUUGUUAUUAGCCAUUACAAACUAGGUGCAAUGAUUGGGAACAUUCUGGAAAAGGUUUUGGCAUGUUAUUUGGUCAGAGUCUCAACUUUACAGAGUGAUGAGAACACUGAAUGACAACAAAGCGAAGCAAAUGAAAGCUGUCUUGGACUUUGAUGUUGAAAGACCUGGUUCAGCUUCCUACUUCUGGCUGAUCCUCAUCGGCGUCCCACAGCAGCUCACAUACUGGUUACGUUACCAAUCAUGGAUGAGCUUCAGUUUCUGGAUCAGAAAGUUGAAAUAGGGAACAUGUUUGUCUCUCAGUGUUGCAACUGUGGAGAAGUGCCAAGGAAAGCCUACUGUGACCUGUAAAUGAAUAUUGCUCUUGUAAUGACUAUUUUGAGGUACAUAGAAAACAACAAGAAAGGACAAUUCAGCACAGAGAUUAACAUGACUUAAAGGCAUGGAAGAUUAAUGGUGUACUGAUGCUCAGGAAUGACAAGAAGGGUCUCACACUGGUACCUGGAUCUGAACAAUUAAUCUAGAAAGGCUGAUAGUUCCUCUCACUGAAGCUGGAACUUUGAGCAAGACUGGCGGGCCGGGAAGCCACAAAGAUCCUUCUGCCUCUACUUCCCCAGUGUUGGAUUACAGGCUUGCUACACCCAGUUUUACACCGGUUCUUGAUAUCCAAACUCAAGGGCCUCAUGUUCACACACGAAGAACUUUCACCACUGAGCCAUCCCCCCCCAGCAUCAUGCACAGGUGAUCAUCCUCCUUAGGGAAGAAACAUUUUUCGAAGCACAGCAGACUUAAGACAUCCCACACUACGGUGAUUGAGAAUGAUUUUCUUACGAACAUCAGACCUAAGCAAUACCCCCUCUGGCUCCCACAUGCUCAUUCUCCACACUGAAAAGAAAGCAGAAAACUGUAGGUGACGUGCUUCUAAUGAAGAAAAAUCACCAGGACGAGUAUCUAUUUUGCUCUUGUGCCUUUGUCAUUACAAUGUUGCCGUUCAGCAUGAGAGCAACGAGCCACUUAAAGAUAGGGGUACUUCAAACUUUCCCGCUCAACAUUUGUGGAUACUCAAGUGGGACAAGGGAAGGUCUCCUCGUUAUUUCCGGGCAGGGAUGAGAAACACAAUGCUUCUUCCACUGCUACCAGGCACAGGUGGCCUUUCUACCACUACCAGGGGGCAGGAGUGUUGGCUCUCUGAAAACUGGUGGAUAUGUUAUCAGGAGACUUACAUAGUGCCAGAAGGUCCUACACAGGCUUGUGGGGAAGACAACACAUCACUGCCCUUACUUGAUGGUGGACCUCAUUGCUAGAAUCCUAUCCUGCCAGGGAACUAGAUGGUCUGGAAAUGCUUCAACUGGCUUCUUUGUCUGGGUGUGGAUGUGCCCUAGAAGACAGAAACCUUCUUGAUCCCUACAGCUAUUUCCGUUAACCCCUUGAAGACUGCAUCAAGUGUGCGCUCAGCUGCCGAACUCUUUUAAUGAGAAAGGCUCCGUGACAAACCCACCAGACCUCCGAGAGCAAGUUUCCCCGUUUAUGUCCUUGCCAUCCCUAAACCCUUGUGGGUGAUUCUGAACGUGGAGUAGACGGAGGUGGUGAACACCAUCCAAGCUUUUAUGACCAACACUUCCACACUGGACUUCCCCAGAACCAUAGAUUACUUUCUGAGGACUAUAGGUCAGUGCUACACCUCUUGUUCCUCAGCGUUUAUUUUAGCCCAGCUAAUACAUACUCUUGUCCCUUGAAGUAUGAAAAUAAAAUAAAGCAUGAAGAGUAGGAAUCACAGUUCUUCUCUGUUAAAAGUUACUGAAUUUAAAGUCAUUAUUAGAUGGAUACUUCACUGACAUCUGGUUUGCUGUCUCCUUGCAUCUCUCCCAGACCCUCUCUCUCUUCACUCUACCCCCUCUCUCUUGCUGGGAAUUGAACCUGUGCUUUUAUGCAAGUGCUUGAGAACAGAGGUAUCAUGUUCUGUUAAUACUUUCCUUCUUGCUUGUUGUCCCAAAAUAGGUAGUGACCUUCUACCCUGAGGUCAUUAUGCAUUUAUCUAACUCUUUAUGAAAGAGAAGGAUCUGAAUGGUUGGUUAGGUUAGUUAUUAUUAUCUUUGAAGUCAGUGAAACUUCAAAUUUCCUAUGUUUCCAUGGAUGAUCAGAUACUAUAACUGAUUACAAAAGAAGUCCAUAAAUAUGAAGGCUUAUAAAAAUCAACCAAUAAUGGAAGCGCAUAUUUGCAUAGCUUCUAACCAACAACUCAUCAUUUCUUUCUUUAGUCCUCUGUUGCAUUUUACAACUUAACUAUAAUUAUACUAAGUGAGGAAUUUUAUUUUACCUUGAAGGUACCAUAACAAUAUUUGUAUAAUUGUUUAGUAAAUUUUCUGAUGUUCAUUGAACUUUUAAAUUUUAUGUGUUGGGAAUUUUUUUUAAAUGGAAUUUUUUUAAAUAUAUAAUUUAUUUAACUUUAUUUUAUGUGCAUUGGUGUGAGGGUGUCAGAUCACCUGGAACUGGAGGUACAGACAGUUGUGAGCUGCCAUGUGGGUGCUGGGAAUUGAACCUGGGUCCUUUGGAAGAACCGACAGUGCUCUUAACCACUGAGCCAUCUCUCCAGCCCCGUGUUGGGAAUUUUUAAGAAAAGAUUUAUUCAUUUAUUUUGUUUUCUUUUAAGAUUUAUUUUUAUUUUGUGUUUUAAGAGUGUUUUACCACAUGUAUGUCUGUGCACAUGUAUCUGAUGCCAGUGAAGGACAGGAGAGAGCAUAGAUCCUCUGGAAUUGGAUUUAAAUAAGAUGGUUGUUAGCUGUCAUGUGGGCACUGGUGAUUCAACCCAUUUCCUCUGCAAGAGCAGCCAGGGUUCUCAACUGCUAACUCAUCUCUACAGCUCACAUGUUGAGACUUUUUAUUUGUAUGUGUCUUUUCUGGUGAUAAUUUUUUUUAAAUAUAUAAAAAUGCAUAACUUAGCCUUCUUUAGACAGAUCCCUUGUGAAAACAAAGGAGAAGAGGAAAGCAAGGAGAUAGAGAAGGGACUCACACACACAAAUAAUUAGCUGCCUUUGUUUUUCUGUCUUACUGUUUACUUCGUUAUAUUGUUCUAAUCUUUUUCUUUUGGCUGUUUGUUUGAGAUGGUGUCUUACUAUGUAUCCCAGACUGAUUCUCAAAUUGCCGUCUUCCUGCCUUAGCCUCCCAAAUGCUGGAGUUACAGUUACCUCCUGAUUUUAUUCAUGAUAUUUUAUUUUAUUUUAUUUCAUUGAUUAAAAGAUGAUGGAAUGUUGUUUUCUCUUUCUAGCUUUAGUGUAAUAUUUACUUUCACUGUGAGUCCACAUACACAUAUAUGCGUACACAGACACACACGUAUACUCCCUCACUGAAAUAUUUAUUUUAAUUUAUCAUAUACUAUCUCUACUCAAGUACAAAACCUCUUGGUUAUACAUUUUGAUAAUGUUUUUUCAUCCUCACUCAGAUGAAAAAGGAUGCAAGCUUUGCUAUGAGUAGUUAUCCUCAAUGGACUUCAUUCAGUUUUUUUUCUCUCUUUUCUUUCUCAUGUAGGUCAUGCAUCUCACUCUGUAAUGCUGUGAUUAUGUGAGCUAAAACUGCAAAGUGUGACUUAACACACAAACACCUUACCUCAUGCAUUUCAUUGUAAACAUUCAUUCCAUUAUUAGUAAAUUAGUAAAAUUGAGAGCAAAUAUGACUCCUGACCCUGAUGAAGAAAUGAAAAUGUUUCAAGUCUGUAUUGUCCUUGAUAGCCUGUGGCAUGUGUUCCAACAGAACACAGUUCAACUGCUAGUGUCUAGCUCUAAGUCUCUAGAAGUGCUGCACACGUAACUAAUCUUUCCCUACUCCUUUGCCUUCACCAAGAGAUCAUCACAUCUGCAGUGACCUGCUUGAUGAGCUGCACAUGUUGUCAGAGCGGCCCAUUAGACAUGUCAGAAAGAAUAACAGGGUCAGAAGAACCUCUAGCUUAACUAUCUACCCCACAGUACUGUGCUCUAUAUGAACCCUAAUUGUUUGAAGUCACUGGCUAUGUGUUUAUUUUGUUAUCCAUCAAGACAUUUAUAUUAAAGUAGGUUAGACUCAUAUAGAUUCUUAAGAAAAAGACUGAACAUUUAUCAUAUUCAACCUUAAACUGCUUGGCCAGUGAGCUUUGAGUUCACUUGAGUUUAUGGCCCUUUUGUCAGAUGUUACUCUUAAGUUGACCCUUUAUAUUCCACGGUGUUUCUUUUAAAUUCAGUAUUGUGGACGUAUUUCGUAGCUAUCUAUAAUGCAGCAAGUUUAUGAGUGCAGUAGCCAUGUCAUAUCCAGAGAACGUUGUAUCUCAGUAUUCCUUCCUAACCUCUUGCUCUCAUAUUCAGUCUCCUUCCCUUUCUACAGCAUUCCCUGAGCUUUGUAGGGGAUGGUGUUAUCGUCCCCUUUAGGACAAAGAAUUUCAAAAGUCUCUUAUUCUCCAUCCUUUGACCAGCAGUGAGUCCUCGAAAUAACAGCCACCCAUUUCAAAAAGAAACUUCUAAGAGCGUGGCCGAGAGUAGCACUACUUGGGUGUUAAACCUUCAGGGUCAUCCCCAGUGACCUAAUUCUUUGAGAAAGGGUCUACCUUUCCAACCAUCACUACUAGCUGGAAAACAAGUGUUCAAACACAUGAGCAUAUGAGAGACAUCUCAUGUGCAAACUGUAACAGACUAGUUUAACAAAGAAAACAAACACUGGGAGGCUUAACAAGUAAACAUUCAUGAAACACAACUCUGGAGUCCACAGAAUAAAUGAUUCAUGGACAGAUUCAUUUUUGGAGCUAUUAGCGAAGUGUAAAGCAGUAUUCAUGAUAUUUAUUCUUGAUGGUUUCUUUGCUUACAGUCAGUACUUCACCUAGUUGGUCUUUAUCGAGAACAGGGACACAAAUCUUUGUUACUGGAGGAACAGGACUCUUGACAGUAUUGUUUCUAUAUGAUCUUCUCUAGUAGGGUUUUUUCACAGUGCAGUGUGUUAUUCAUCUCUGUGUUUUCUUAAAUGGUAGCUGCUAAAUACACAUGCUGCCGAACACUUGACAUAAAGCCAGUCAGAGAAAAAUUUUAAAUUUUAUGUAAUGUUAACUAAAUAUUAAGUCUCAUUUGUCAAUGUGUUUAUAGAGCUUCAAUAAUGUUCUAAGAGUUCUACUUAGUCUGUGUCGGUAUAUCUUGUAUUAUUUUCCCAUGAUCCAUGGAUGUCUGCUUGUUUAUUAUUAUUUUCUUUUUUUUGUUUUAGUUUGGGACAUUUAUAUUGUUCUUUCAAGUGUCUUAUUCUUUUCCCAUCUUCAUUAGAUCUGCUGAUGAGACCUUGGAAAUCUGUCUGUAUUUUCAUAUUCAGUUUUUUAGUUCAACAACUUCUCUUUGGUCAUUUUUUAGAUAUUCAUAGUCUGAUAAUAUUACUCAUCUGUUCGACACAUUAUUAUUUUAAAUUUGCAACUGAUAAUUCUAAUAUCGGGAUCUCAUCUGAGUCUGAUUUUGAUAUUUGCCUUUUGUUUCCCUUUCCUUUAAAGUGCUUUCUUCGGAAGCCACACAUUUAAAUCAGGCAUACAGAGCAGCAUACAGAACUGGCUACCUCCUGUAAGCAGACAAGGAUCCCGAUGGAGGGCCUGAGAGGCCAGCCCAUCUACAAAACCUUCAGUACUCCCUGCCCUGCCUAUAACGUAUGCUGGGGUACAGGUGGCACAGAAACUGUGACAGUGGACAACCAAUGACUAGUCCAGCUUGAGACCUUACACUGAGAGGAAGCCACCCCUGAUAUUGCCUGGAGGUCCAGGACCCAGAGGAUAGAACCAACUAUGGCUGGCAAAAAAGAAAAAAAAAUCAAUGAAAUAAUUUCUAAUGAUAUUCUGCUAUGCUCAAAGAUUGUUGCCUAGCCCAAUUAUAACCAGAAAGGCUUCCUCUAGCAACUGAUAGAAGCAGAAGCAGAAAUUCACAGCCGAACACUAGGUGGCUCAAAGGGAAUCCUGUAAAAAAGGGGGAAUAAGGAUUGUAGAAGCCAGAGAGGCUAAGAACACCCAGAAGAAUCAACUUACUUGGCCUCAAAGGGGUUCACAGAGACUUAACUGACAACUAGAGGGCCUGCAUGGGACUGACCUAGGCUCUCUUCAUAUGUGUUGAAGUUGUUGUAUGGCUUGGUCUUUUUGUGGGACUUGUAACAGUGGGAGCAGGGGCUGUCUCUGACCCUUUUGUAUGGGACUCUUUUUUCCUACCGGGUCACCUUAUCCAGACUUAAUAUGAUGGGAGGUGCCCAGUCUUACUGCAAUCUGAUUAUGCCAUGUUUGGCUGAUAUCCAUGGGAUGCCUACUGUUUUCUGAAAAGAAAAGGAGGAGAACUGGAUGGGGGAUGGGUGAGCAGAGGGAAGGUAGGUGGGGGAAGAAGAAAUGUGAGGAGUAGAGAGAGGGGAGACUAUGGUCAAGAUGUAAGACGAAAGAAAACUUUGUGUAUUUAUUAGUAUAUUCUUAUGGCCUCCCAUUGCUCUACUUUGUGGCAACAACAUUCCCAAUCUACUUCCAUCAAGAUCUGUCCAUUGUAGCUUCUCAAGAAAGGGAGGAAUCCCUUUGCUUUGGCAAGGAGAAAGAGUCAGCAGACUGUUUUUCUCUAGAACAUCUUAGUCUUAGAGAAAGCUGAGGAGAGAGCGCUGUAACUGGCAAACCAGGAGGUUUCGCACAAGAACUGCAUAGUGGUCCUGAUGGCAAACGGUAACAGGUGAUUCAGCUCCCCUAAAACUAAGGCCUCGGAACUUUCUCAUCUCACCCUUUGCAUCAAACUCAGCCUCCUGACACUUGAUCAGUCACCACGGAAGUGACCCCAGGUAAUGACAUCGCCAUGUUCUGUCUGGGCCUGCUUCGUGACUUUGGCCUGGCUGUCUGCAGUAAUUCCUCAGUUCCUGGACAGAACUAAGUAACACCACCCAUUUCUGUUUCCCUGGCUUUUCCUUGAAGCAAGAACAAGGAGACGACUGUUCAGUUCCUCCCAGGCCAAAACCAAGAUUGCAACCUCGUACUAAGCACUUAGAUCCACUGAGGUAAUUUCUAAAUACUGAAAUAUUUAUUUUCUCUUUUUAAGCAUCUCUCUUAGGAGCCUGAGGUCUGCUUCUCACACACAUAAGAUGCUUCUGAGAGGACGAAGAUACUUGAUCCUCUGCAGCCAGAUAGAAGACUGUUUAGCAAGUGUUUGAGGGAAAAAUUUAAAGACUAUUUCCUGAUAGAGUAUAGAUCUCACUAAAUUUACUGUUGGGUGUCUCUUCAUACCGAGACAUCUCUGAGAAUGCUCUAGGUCAUGUCACGUUCGAAACUAAUUAUUCAUAAGUUGCUUCUCGUUUCUUAGGGCCCAUGCUGAGACACUUCAUAAAGCAAGCAAGUCACUUUAUGACCUGGUCCCGCUCUCUCUCUCCAGCCUCACUUAUGCCUCUGUCCGUCUCGUUCAGUUGCUUCAUCCAACUGGCCUCCUACAGUUCCUCAGGCUUUCUACUCUCUGAUCCUCAUAGUGUAGUUACCUACGGCUACAAUGCUCUUCUGUUCCCUGGGAAACUUCAGCUUCCAGCUAAACCAACAGGUCGCUGUUUAUUCUGUCGCAGGAAUAUUCCUCAGUUCAUCUUUUAGUAAGUCUCACAAGUAUAAUUAAUUAUUUAAAAUUAUUAUGUAGUUCUUUGUUUAAGAUCCGUCUCACCCAGUCUCAGCUACACCCUUCAAGGAGCCUGGAGACUGCCUGUUUCACUCGCACAAUCACUCUUUUAGCCUCAUAGCUCCUGGACAACAUUUUCAAAUGCAUCGAUGACGGAUGAAUGAAAAUUCCAUCUCUAUUUUCAUCUUACCAAAAACCGAAUUCUUGGUUUGUGGUUAGGUGGUAGGGAAGCGUGGAGAAGCAGUCAACCCAAGCAGGGGCCUCCCAGGAAAGAAUAUAUGUGCAGAAAUGUCAUUUAAGAGAUGAGAUGAAAAUUCUCCCCUAGGGAAACUCAGAAAUAUUUGUGAAAAGACUGUUCCUUACUCUUUUGCAGAUGUGGCCAUGGCUUAAUUUCUUUGGUUACUAACGGAGACGGUCCCCCAGAAGAGCAGAAAUCUCGGGGCCACUCAGAUUGCAGCAGCUAUAAAAAAUGUGAUAAUCAUUAUCAGCUAACUAAUCUUUUCUCUUCAAGUUUCUCAAUGAUUACAGUGAACCAUGAAAAAUUGCCUCAAAGCCACAGAUGACAGAAUGGUUCCCUGGGCAAGUUUUGUGGUGAUCCCAAGACUCGUGGAGUCAUCCCAGGAAUUCAGGCUUGACUUCGCUGAAUGCAUUCAAAAGCAGGCACACUCCACUCCCUUGAAGGGAAGAAAACAUGCACUCUGUCUUCUGAGGGACUUCAGUAACUUCCAUCCGAACCCAACACGAAGAAAGAAUCCUUUGCCUUCCGGCCCCAAACUCCUCAAAAAUAUGCACAGUUAAACAAGAAAGAUGGAAGUGUGAGGGCUAGGCAGCUCCUGAAGCAGCUGCUGCACACAGAGACAAAGUGGCCUGAUACAAAAUUAACUCAAAAAAAAAAAAAAGUAGCCCUCUUGUAUACAAAAGACAAAAGGGCUGAGAAAGAAAUUAGGAAAACAACACCCUUCACAAUACCCACAAAGGACAUAAAGUACCUUGGAGUAACCCUAACCAAACAAGUCAAAGACUUGUAUGAAAAAAAUUUCAAGUCUCUGAAGAAAGAAUUAGAAGAAGAUAUCAGAAGAUGGAAAGAUCUCCCAUGCUCAUGGCUUGGCAGGCUUAACACAGUAAAAAUGGCCAUCUUACCAAAAGCAAUCUACAGAUUCAAUGCAAUUCCCAUCAAAUUACCAACACAAUUCUUUACAGGCCUUGAAAGAAAAAUUCUCAGCUUCAUAUAGAAUAACAAGAAACCCAGAAUUGCUAAAAUAGUCCUCUACAAUAAAAGAUCUUCUGGAGGAAUCUCCAUACCUGAUCUCAAGCUGUACUAUAGAGCAACAGUGAUAAAAACUGCAUGGUACUGGCAUAGAAACAGAAUGGUGGAUCAAUGGAAUCAGAUAGAAGACCAAGAAAUAAACCCACACACUUAUGGACACCUGAUUUUUGAUAAAGAUGCCAAAACCAUACAAUGGAAAAAAGAUCUUCAACAAAUGGUUAUUUACUUGAUUGUACCCAUUUUUAAAUGAACAAAUAAAGACCAGAAGAAGAAACUACACAGAGGUCAUUUGGUAGAAAAAGCCAAAUUGAAGAAUGAAUUUGGUGCAUCUAUGCAGAAAGCUUUGAAGAAAAGCAACGUUAAGGGACUAAAUGAGUACUACAAAGUUGUUGGCUUACUUGUCUGGAAUAGAGAAUUUAUACAGGGUGUUGAGAAAACAGCCUAGAAAGAUAGAAGCUCUGAAAGCUAGACUAAAGUUGUUUAUUUGACGGCUGUCGAUGUGGUUCUGAAGUUAAAAGCACAUAACUGCAGACGACUCAGAUUCUGUUUCUGGCACCCAGUGAGGCAGCUCACAAGCCCCUAUAACUCUAGUUCUAACGGAUCUGAUGCUCUCUUCUGGAAUUUCUGGGGACAUGAAUGCAAGCAUUGCAUAUAAAUUCAAACAGCCUUCCCCCACAUACACAUAAAUAAAAGUGAAUUAAUUAACCAUUAAAA